Molecule: RNA transcript, 1441 nt
Organism: Lycium barbarum (goji berry)
Lineage: Eukaryota; Viridiplantae; Streptophyta; Magnoliopsida; Solanales; Solanaceae
Exons: 11
Source: RefSeq, a predicted model, not a curated record
UUGGCUAAGCCAAUUGCGAAGAAGUAGCGAAACAGAACCACAACCACGAAACCCAAGACCAACAAAUAUGGCCAAAGCUCCCUAAUUUACUUGUCAAAGUGCUGACACUCUUUGUUGUUAAUAAUUGUGUUGUGGUUCAUUCAAUGGCUUCAUCUCUCUCACUUUAUCAUCAACAUAUCUACUGUCUCUCUCGUAUUACUCUUUGUUUAACCAGAUGCCCACAUCAUAUUUCAACUCGUUCUGCACCAUAUUUUCGCAAGAGUUUCCUCAAAUUUGAUUCUCGUAGAACAACACUUCUGUUUGCUGUUACAGAAUCUGAUUCACCCAAAUCUCUUGAACCUGACCCUCUAAGUCUUCUCCAAGAACUCGCUGACAGUUUUGUUCUACCUGCAGAUUAUUUUUCGCAGCUUCCUCGUGAUCUUCGCUUAGAUCUGAAUGAUGCAGCAUUUGAUCUUUCAAAUGGGCCAGUUAAAGAUGAGUGUGGCGAGGAGGUGGGAGAGACAUUGUUGAAUAUAAGCCGAGCAUGGGAACAGGCUGAUACAUCAACAUCCACAGCUUUAGUGGACAAGCUGCCUUUAUUGGUUGGCUCAUUGACGGGCUCUCAAAAAUCAGCAUUUGGAAGACGCUUGUUAUCAGCUGGAAGAAGGUUCCAGUCCAUGGGACAAUAUGGUGAAGGUGAAGUACAGAAGAUUGCUAAAGUUAUGAUAGAGACUGGAAAGUUGUUGUCUGCAAGUCCUGCAUCUGGGGUUGAUGGUGAAGAAAAGCAGCAAACCAGGACAUUCAAGUUUGGGGAUCUUCAGGUUGAAUUGACCCCUGGAAAAGCCUACAUUGGAGCUACCAUUGCAAUUAUCUUUAGUUUUCUUUCUUGGGAAUUAAGUCAAGGGGUACGGAGCAUACCAGAGAGCUCAUUACAGUACGCAAAUGACAAUGCCUUGUUGCUUGCUAAGUCCCUGCGAGGAACUCUGCUUGUGAUGUCCUAUGCAUCGACUGUUUUAUCUGCUUUUGCAACGGUGGGACUUAUUUUACUUGGGGGACAACUCAAGUCGGAAGAUAAGUGAGAAGUUCUAAAUUCUUGUCUAGCCUUAGUUGUAAAAGUAGAAACUCAAGAAGAUUGUAGCUGCAUAGGCUGCAAUUAUCAGGCUAGAAGAAUGUACCUUUCAGGACAUUCCGGUUGCUGAUAGACUAAAAUGUGGAUCAACAACCUGUUGCUGGAAUUCCAAUGGUAUCAGUAAACUCGGUUGGAUAACUAAGCAUGUUACUUUGAAUGUGAUGGCCUCCUUAAAUUUGAGUAUAUCAAAGGUUCUUCGGUUGUAGCUUCAAUGUUGCAUCCUUGCUGACUGCAAAGCUUGUUGUAAAUAUUAUUUUGGCUUCUUGGAUUUUAAGGCUUUUAAAACAUUCAUACUUUUAGAAUGUCUGAAUCAUUUUUAAAUUUUUGCUUUAA